RNAcentral lists this long non-coding RNA (282 nucleotides) under Homo sapiens (human). RNAcentral's name for it is "lncAB549.1". The record is from RNAcentral. Lineage: Eukaryota; Metazoa; Chordata; Mammalia; Primates; Hominidae.
UUGCUAUCUUAACCAUGUUGAAAUGUGCAGUUAGUAAAGGACAUUCACAUUGUGGUGCAAGCCAUCACUACCAUCCAUCACUAGAACCCUUUUCAUCUUGCAGAUCUGAAACUCUACCCAUUAAACAACUUCCCAUCUUCCCAUCCCCACAGCUCCUAGCAACCAACAUUCUACUUUCUCUAUCAGUUUGACUACUCUAGGUACCUCAUAUGAGUAGAAUCAUACAGCAUUUAUCCUUCUCUGCCUGGCUUAUUUCACUUGUAUAAUGUCCUCAAGGUUCAU